Molecule: non-coding RNA, 2904 nt
Organism: Bactrocera oleae (olive fruit fly)
Lineage: Eukaryota; Metazoa; Arthropoda; Insecta; Diptera; Tephritidae
Source: RefSeq, a predicted model, not a curated record
CAUCAGGUGGUGUUUUUGCUUAUCAGUUGAAGUUUGCUGUUUGUUUGGAAAAUUUUUGGCGUCUUAGGAGCAUAUAUAUUUUAUAGUUAGCGGAAAAAGUUGUGCAAUGUUGUGGUUUAAUCUUUUAUUACCAAUUUUGCUAUCAAUAUCUGAUUUUGCUUACUCUAUCGAUGAGAGUCGGUUGGUCGAUGCUGAAAAAACACUGGUGUGGGGGCCUGGCUUGAAGCCGGAUGAAGUUGUUUUACCAGCGCGUUAUUUUUUCAUACAUGCUGUGGACAAAAAUGGGCGCAAAUUUGAGCAAUCACCCCCACAGGAAUUUCAAGUGCUUAUCAAAGGCAAUUCGCCGCAUGGUAAAUGUCGGUCAAAUGUAAAUUUCAUUGAUCGCGGUGAUGGCUCCUCGAUUAUACGCUAUAAUAUAGCCGACUGGUGUGAUCAAGUUGAAUUGCAAGUGCGCUAUAAUGGCUCACAUGUAGCACAUUCUCCGUAUGUUAUAUAUAAUAAGGUAUACUCAGAACGUUGCUACUGCCCACAAGAUUCAAAAUUGUGGAUGUUGCACAACAAUUGUCCAUCAGGUUUAGAUGACAAACAGAUCGCUUGGGACUUGCAUUCAUUUAAGCGUGUUAACUUUAGCGCUAUACGCGAGAAUCUUUUGCGGCGCUACAAUCAACCGGAGAGCGUAUCGUUAUGCCAUUAUGUAGUGAAACAGCAACAAAUAUGGCGACAAUGUUAUGGCAAGUAUACUGGUUUCAAAAUGUUCAUGGAUGCAACCUUGUUGGCAUUAGGACGUGUUGCUCUACUGCCAGAUAUGGAAUUCUAUUUGAAUUUGGGCGAUUGGCCGCUCUCGAAAAAAGGUGGACAACAGCGUACUUCUGGUCCAUAUCCAAUAUUCUCGUGGUGUGGUAGUGAAGACUCUUACGACAUAGUACUACCUACAUACGACAUAACCGAAUCUACAGUGGAGAAUAUGGGACGUGUAACUUUGGAUAUGUUGUCUGUGCAAAAAAGCGAAUAUUCAUGGGACAUAAAAGAAUCUAAAGCUUUCUGGCGCGGCAGAGACUCACGGCGCGAGCGACUUGAAUUAAUCGAAUUGGCACGUAAACAUCCAAAUUGGUUAAAUGCAUCACUAACGAAUUUCUUUUUCUUCCGUAACGAGGAAGAUAAGUACGGUCCCAAAGUGCCGCAUAUAUCGUUUUUGGAAUUUUUUCGGUACAAAUACCAGCUAAAUGUGGAUGGUGUCGUCGCUGCUUAUCGCUUUCCGUAUUUGCUUGCCAGUGACUCGUUGGUAUUCAAACAAGAUUCGGGUUUCUAUGAACACUUUUACAGCAAAUUAACGCCGUACAAACAUUAUGUGCCAUUUAAACGCGAUUUAAGUGAUUUAAUUGAACGUCUACAGUGGGCAAAAGAAAAUGACGAUCGCGCCCGUGAAAUUGUGUCAGAAGCACGGAAAUUCGUAGAAGCUAAUCUAAUGCCACAGCAUAUUUAUUGCUAUCAUAUGGCUUUAUUUAAGAAAAUAAAGUGAUGCGAAUGCGGCGGUUUUAAUAAAAGUAUCUAAAAAGUGUGAAAUCAGUUUAAUUUGAAAACUAUGUUUUUAACUGACAAGCUAGAAGAUGAAGGGACCAUCAAGGUAGACCUAAAUAUAAAAGUGUGAUACAAAAGUGUUGCUAAAUAUUUAUAUUGUGAUGUCGGUGAUACAGAAGUUCGUUUGUGCUUUGAAAUCCUAGUUGAAGUGAAAUAUUUAAGUGUAAAAGUGAGAAAAAAGUUAACAAAUUUAAAUAUGUUCAAGGCGAUCAUUGCUUAAGCGAUUUCCUACAACAGCUGCCAAAACCUUUCACACAACAUUUUAUUAUUUUGUGGCGAAAAUGUGUACUUUUUUACGACAUUGGAAUCUCUAUAAAAUUCAUAGUUUUCAUCGCAAUUCAUGCAACAACAUACUUAAUUUUUUCUGUUAAUCAUUUUACUUUGCCUGGAAAAUUGCUAAACUAACCCUGCAUGAUUAAUGGCAAUACAGUAUCAAUGCUUUUUGUACUUUCCGCGGUGACACUUUCCAUUAGAAAUGCAUUUCAUUUAAAGCAUUAUCGAGUGACAUCUUAAUCAAUGAAGUUGCGAGUAAACAAUAUUUCCUGGUUCCAUGUGAAGCCAACACCCACAGUCGCCCAAAAGGCAACUAUUAAAGGAGCGCCGAACAGUAACACAUAACAACAACCACAUACAGCUUUACUGAUGAUCCUGUCAGGAGUUAUGCAGAUAACGCGGGCGCACCUUUUUUUCGAGGGGUCACCGGAAAUUACAUUACAAUGGCGGAGUUUUGAUUUUUUUUUAAUUUAAAUAUCAGAAAUUAUUCUUUAAAUGUGUAACUUCAAGACAGAAAAAAGUUGAAUUAAAUAAAUAAUUUUUAUAUUGAAAAAAAAUAUUGAAAAUACCCGACGAAACCCAUGUAACCCCUUAAGAAAAAUUUUUAAUUUUUAAAAAUGUUACGCAUACGCCCCACCAUAUUUUAUGUGUGUUGAAUAAUUUUCAUAUUAAAAUGUUCAAUUUUGUGAUUAUUUUUAGAUAUUUAUUAAGAUUGUACGAAAAUUUGUAAACACGCUGUCACGCUCUUUUUGCUAACUUUAAGACUCACAUCAGAAGCGAGAGGAGAAAUGCAACCACACAACUAAGUUGUAAAGUACAUGUCAUAUGUAUAUGUAUUGUAUAUCAUAUGUACAUACCAUAUAUAAUAUCACAUUUGUACAAUAGAUUUUGUAUAUAACCAAUUUUUUUAACACAAUACAGACAACAUAUAUUGUUUUUUAGUAGUGAAUUUAACAAUUUAUUAGUUUUAUUAAAUUUUACACUUUGUGUGAAACAAAUUUUAAUAUUUCUCAAAAAUAAUUAUUUGACAAGAAAAAAACAAUAAUUCACGCU